Molecule: long non-coding RNA, 2433 nt
Organism: Oxyura jamaicensis (ruddy duck)
Lineage: Eukaryota; Metazoa; Chordata; Aves; Anseriformes; Anatidae
Exons: 2
Source: RefSeq, a predicted model, not a curated record
UUGUAGACAGGAUCAAACAUGAAGCACUUCAAGAAUUUUGGUUUGGGUUUCCACUGUUCUUUGGUAUUUGAAGAGCAAUUAAUCCAUUUUUCUACCUGCAUUUGAAGGUGUAUCUUUUGUGGAUAUGUGGAUAUGCUUGUAAAUCUGUUUUCUGGAUUGUUUGGAAGGUGGUCCUAAGUAUGUCCAAGGAAGGAAAGCAUUACAUUGAGCAGAGAUGAAUACAAAUACAAAUGUCGCAUUGACUGCUUAGAAGCCAUACUAUCUGACAGCAUUUGGGUGAGGUUUUCCAUAUGUCUACAUAGUAGAAACUGCAGAUUUAAAAAUUGAAUUUUAGUGAAAGUUGAAAGAAUUUUCUGCAGUAUUUUAAAGGAUUUUGAGGACACACUGUUGGGAUCUAAUCUGUACAUUCUCAGAAUGAGAAUAUACUUAACUCUGGCUACAGCAAAGCAUCUAUGAAAACGCUCUCUUGCUAAUACAGAUCUUCUAGUUCUUUGACACACUUGCACCAAUUUUAAACACGUCCAAGUAACUAGGUAAAUACAGACUCUAUUUGGCCAGACCCAGCUUUGUCUGCUACUGAGAUUCUGCUGCCAGCUACAGCCAGGUGGUAAAUUCAAGCCCAGCUUAAGGAUAUUUUUAUAAGAUGCAGUCAGUUCAGCAAAGACCACUUGGGAGCGGAGCAGAGAUUGCUGUUUAAAGAAUUGAGUUGAUAUAACAGCUCCAGUUUAUCCCCCGGUAAUUGAACUGGAGAUGCUGUCCUCUGCUUUUAGGAUUUAUUGAAGGAUGGUCUGCUUUGACAUCGUGGCCGUUUUGAAUAGUAUGGUUAAAUUCUUUCAGUUUCCAUAACCAACUCAACGCAGUCAUGUGGCAUGGACCACAGCCAGUGCCUUUGACCUCCUGCAUAUGUGACCAGUUGCCCACUGAUUAGGGGCUGACUUACAUAGAAUUUUAGUCUCAUUCCUGUAAGUUGCACAAUAAGCUUGACUAUGUGUGACCAUGUGUAAACAAGCGCAUAUAUGUGUCUGAUUUUAGCAAAGACAUCCUUGAACUUCAGUAUGCAACUUGAAGUCAGCCCUGGUUUUAAGUAUGGUGAGGUUAAACCCUCUUCUCCCUCUCUAGUCUGUUCCCCUUGAAAAUAACCUGUACAUGACCAUAUUACAUCAGCAUUUAGGAUUCCUGAAAUAAUGAAUAACAAUUGUAUCAGGUUGCCUGAGUGCAUUUCAUGCCAAAUUUGUGCAACAAUUGCAAGUGCAAAACCAAAUCUUUUCACCUAUCUAGUGAACUCUUAAAAAAAAAAAAAAAAAAAAAAAAAGCACCCCUCAAACCCUGAUCUCACAGAACUUUUAAGAACUCACUUAAUCCCACAUAUGUGAAUAAAAAAGAUAAAAAAGUUGGUUUGGGGAUAUUUGUAAGUGGACUUUAAGGGUUUGUUUAAAUGUUUUGCUGGAUGGAUCAUCAGGGAUCUGCAAGACAGUGCCCUUUCUCUGACAGUUCUCUCAAUGACAUUUUUAAAAGCAGCUCACAGCUCACUAAGAGUUUAUGCUGAGCCCCAUGCUGAAUGGAUACAAAUUUGUAGAGACUUUAGGUAGGGAAGACAUAUGGUGAGAGAGCACAGAAAUCUGAUAGUUUCCUGAGAAGUAAUAUUCCUCUAAAAUAUUGAAACAAAACUAUUUGAUGUGUGUAGGAUGAAUUUUAAAUAAAUAUGGUAGUCUGGCCAAUCCAGAGAUGUGGAUAUCCUUGAAUAACCUUUGACAGCACUCCCAACUGUUCUUUGAACAAGCAGAGAAGUAUGUCAGAGGCCUUAGUUUUCGUUCAUGUUGGGCCUCCUCCAAGAUACCACUUCUGGGCUUCUGAGUCAGUGAGGCCCCUGCUCACUGCAGGGUAUCUGAACAGCACAAUGCACUUGGGCCUCCAGAGCCACUCUCCUAGUGAGGAACUGCAUUUGUGGCAAUCAGGAUGGCAGAGUGAAAGACAAAAUUAAUUGCCUAAGAAAGUAAUCUGUAAGGCAAACCCUAGUUUAGGCUUUAAAAAUAAUUAUUUAUUUAGUAUUAUUUUUUACAGCCAAGGAAAAGGCAGAAAACAAUGCAAGUCUCCAAAGAGGUGGGCAUAGCAUAUGGCAAAUAUGCUCAGCCCUGAUGUAGGAAGCAGUUUUAGCUAGCUGAUAAAACUCCAGUAUGUUCAUGCCUAUCAGAACACUGACUUGACUGGGAGACAAUCAUAACAUGGACUUUUGUUGCUGGUUUUGUUUUGUUCUUCCUAUGUCCUUCAUCCAGUAGAAGGUGUCCAGGCCCUGAAGUCAACUGACAGGUCAAAUUCACAGGAACAAUCCAAGACAUUCCAAGAAAUGUUGUCGGAGGGUUAACUUACUUUUUACUCUGAAGGCAGACAGGCUGCAGUAAAAAACAACAACAACAACAACAACAAAAACAAAAA